RNAcentral lists this long non-coding RNA (1355 nucleotides) under Equus caballus (horse). RNAcentral describes it as "lncRNA (ENSECAG00000054510.1)". Lineage: Eukaryota; Metazoa; Chordata; Mammalia; Perissodactyla; Equidae. The record is from RNAcentral.
AUUCACUCAAGAUUCUUCUCUGUACUACUCUUACCUAAGAUGAAUCACAAAAGAACAUGUUGAUUGGGCGGAGGAGGAAGGUGGAUGGUUUUAUAAAUGAAGAUGGACUAUAAUAUUAUAAUGUUGUGCUUUUAUUAUGUAUCACAAAAGAAAAAAUUAUCACUAAAGAAGGAGUAGGAAGAAGAAUCUGUGGUCCCUUCAAUUAAUGUAAUGGGGAUCUCAAUUAGCUACAAGAGAGAGUCAGUCGUGCCUGGGCUUGUCUGUUGAAUUGGUGGGAGCAGCUGCCAGAAGCCUGUUUGCAUAUGGAUUGAGGGUCCUCUUGGGAGUGUUCUCAUUCUGAAGGAAGAAGUUGCCUGGCAACAAGAGUUUGACCCAUGGAGACAGCUUUACCCAACAGAGGAGCAAGAAAGCCUGAGUACAGUGUGGUGUCUGUCAUCUAGAUCUGUCUCCCGGCUGGAUGACAUGAAUAUAUGCCUAAGUGCCACAGAGAGUGGGGAGGCUAAAUGGACCAAGUAGAGAAAAAUAAACCUGCUUUACUAAUAUCCAUUUAAAACGGAGUACAAUGCAAUGCUUCAAGAUCCAUCUGAUAGACUAAAAUCCAAAUGGAAGGGAAGUGUUUUCCCCUUUCUUACUAAAAAUCAGUUUGGGUAUGGAGAUGUCACCAAAGCAUUCAUUAUAGUGUGUAUCAGAGCAGCGACAGUACCCGGAGAAGACUUUGAUGCCCAGUGAAGCAUUAAAAAUCAAUACCCAUAGGAUGUGGUAGUAUCCGGUGAUACUAAUUGGGAUAUGUCUGCACCUGCUCCUGAACUUUUCAUACACAUCAAGAUGAUAGGUGAGCGGAGAGCUUGAGUAGCUACAGAAGCUAGCUGAAGGCCAACAGCUAGUGAACACAUAAAGAGAACGGUAAUCGCUGAUACGUUUUUUUGAAGAAGAAUUGUGCAAAUUCCUCUGAAAGCCUAGUGUUGUUUCUAUGAAGCCCAAUCACCUGGUAGAAUUCCUGUGGGAAGAUACAUCACUGCUAAUUCUCCUCCCUACCUAGAAAACGUCCAAAAUGUGGGUUAUUCAUGUCAAAGAUAAACAAGGCCAGACACUCGAAGUGAUACACGCCCUGCUCCUAAGACAACCAGUAUCCUCAGCUGCUUUCCAGAUCCCUUUACAGAACAAAUGGGAUUUUCCAGAUGAUUUCCACGCUAUGUGGGAGCCAAGCAAGUCUCUGAGAAGAUCAAGUCACAUCUUCUCUUUGCCGAACUUUGUCAUAGCACUAAUUUUAUUAUUUGUUAUGUUAUUGGGGGAUCCACCUGGAGAGGUGAUCUAAUCUCAAAGUCCCAAAUGAGUAUGCGGAAUUUAGAAAAAUA